This 484-nucleotide long non-coding RNA is filed under the name Monodelphis domestica (gray short-tailed opossum). Its description in RNAcentral is "lncRNA (ENSMODG00000050808.1)". Lineage: Eukaryota; Metazoa; Chordata; Mammalia; Didelphimorphia; Didelphidae. The record is from RNAcentral.
CUUUGAAAACAAAUAGAGAUAACUGAAGGAAAGAAAAAGGCAAAAUAAUUGUUUUGGUUUCAUCUUUUUCAGUGUUUCUGGGGGCAGAGCCAAGAUGGUGGAGCAGAACAGAGAAGCUCUGAGUUACCAUGAGAAUCCUCUCCAACAGGAGUGAAGAACCAACAAGGAGACAGAGUAAAACAACUUUCAAGAAAAGAAAACCCCUAAAAGAACCAGGGAUGAAUCCAGAAAAAAAUGUCGCGGCAGACCCAACGUCACAGCACAUUUCAUUGUUUUCCUACUAAAUGAGUUCUUCCCAGAACCUUUAUGUCGAAGAAGCUCUCUUUCUCGUUCCUAGACACAGCAGUGUACCCUGUGAGCAGAUAGUGCCUUCACAUCAACAUCCAUCCCUUUUCAGCUAUUCUUUAUGUGUUAUCUUUUCCCAUUAAAAAUUGUCUUUUCCCUAUUCCUUGGAUGUCUUUUUGAUUGAAUUUGUUUCCCCUGA